GCGGAAAUAGCUCAGUUGGUAGAGCAUAACCUUGCCAAGGUUAGGGUCGCGAGUUCGAAUCUCGUUUUCCGCUC
Molecule: transfer RNA, 74 nt
Filed under: Bacteroidetes bacterium ADurb.Bin013
Lineage: Bacteria; Pseudomonadati; Bacteroidota
Also listed under: 3 other names
Description: tRNA-Gly
Rfam family: tRNA
About the family: Transfer RNA (tRNA) molecules are approximately 80 nucleotides in length. Their secondary structure includes four short double-helical elements and three loops (D, anti-codon, and T loops).
Source: RNAcentral